This 403-nucleotide ribosomal RNA is filed under the name uncultured bacterium. RNAcentral's name for it is "partial 16S ribosomal RNA". It matches the Rfam family "Bacterial small subunit ribosomal RNA", at positions 30 to 526 of the family's 1533-position model. The record is from RNAcentral.
AUUGAACGCUGGCGGCAGGCCUAACACAUGCAAGUCGAGCGAGCGGCGGACGGGUGAGUAAUGUAUGGGGACUGCCCGAUAGAGGGGGAUAACUACUGGAAACGGUGGCUAAUACCGCAUACUAUCGGAUAACCCAUAUGGGAUUAGCUAGUAGGUGGGGUAAAGGCUCACCUAGGCGACGAUCUCUAGCUGGUCUGGGAGGAUAAUCAGCCACACUGGGACUGAGACACGGCCCAGAAUCCUACGGAGGCAGCAGUGGGGAAUAUUGCACAAUGGGCGCAAGCCUGAGGCAGCCAUGCCGCGUGUAUGAAGAAGGCCUUCGGGUUGUAAAGUACUUUCGGUGGGGAGGCGUUACUCACAGAAGAAGCACCGGCUAACUCCGUGCCAGCAGCCGCGGUAAUAC